GCCCAAGGACAAGACCUAGUGGAAAAGAGGGCUCACUGAUCCCAUUUGACCUCAGAAGCUAAGUAGGGUUGGGCGUGGUUAGUACUUGGAUGGGAGACCACCUAGGAAGACCAGGUGCUAUAGGCG
This 126-nucleotide ribosomal RNA is filed under the name Pteropus alecto (black flying fox). The record is from RNAcentral. Lineage: Eukaryota; Metazoa; Chordata; Mammalia; Chiroptera; Pteropodidae.